This 69-nucleotide transfer RNA is filed under the name Corvus coronoides (Australian raven). RNAcentral's name for it is "tRNA-His". It matches the Rfam family "tRNA". Rfam says of the family: Transfer RNA (tRNA) molecules are approximately 80 nucleotides in length. Their secondary structure includes four short double-helical elements and three loops (D, anti-codon, and T loops). Further hydrogen bonds mediate the characteristic L-shaped molecular structure. tRNAs have two regions of fundamental functional importance: the anti-codon, which is responsible for specific mRNA codon recognition, and the 3' end, to which the tRNAs corresponding amino acid is attached (by aminoacyl-tRNA synthetases). tRNAs cope with the degeneracy of the genetic code in two manners: having more than one tRNA (with a specific anti-codon) for a particular amino acid; and 'wobble' base-pairing, i.e. permitting non-standard base-pairing at the 3rd anti-codon position. RNAcentral also lists the same sequence under 1 other name. Lineage: Eukaryota; Metazoa; Chordata; Aves; Passeriformes; Corvidae. The record is from RNAcentral.
GCAAGUAUAGUUUAACCAAAACAUUAGAUUGUGAUUCUAAAGAUAGAAGUUAGACCCUUCUUACUUGCC